UAAAGUUGUUGCGGUUAAAAAGCUCGUAGUUGAAAUUGUGUCCUGCGGUGUCGGUCUACCGAUUGCGGUACGACAGGCACGUCUGCGGGGCUUCUCGCCGGUGCGUCCACCGCCGGCGUGCGUCGGUCGUCCUCACGGUCGGCCGCGCACCGAGGCGGGCCGUCGCGGCUGUUUACUUUGAACAAAUUAGAGUGCUCAAAGCGGGCUAACACUUGCCUGAAUAUUGUACGCAUGGAAUAAUAGAAUAGGACCUCGGUUCUGUUUUGUUGGCUUUCUGAUACCAGAGGUAAUGAUUAAUAGGGACAACUGGGGGCAUUCGUAUUGCGACGUUAGAGGUGAAAUUCUUGGAUCGUCGCAAGACGGACUAAAGCGAAAGCAUUUGCCAAAGGUGUUUUCAUUAAUCAAGAACGAAAGUUAGAGGUUCGAAGGCGAUUAGAUACCGCUGUAGUUCUAACCAUAAAUGAUGCCAGCCAGCGAUCCGCCGAAGUUUCAUAAUUUUAACCCGGUGGGCAGCUCCCGGGAAACCAAAGCUUUC
Molecule: ribosomal RNA, 535 nt
Filed under: Caenota plicata
Lineage: Eukaryota; Metazoa; Arthropoda; Insecta; Trichoptera; Calocidae
Description: SSU rRNA
Rfam family: Eukaryotic small subunit ribosomal RNA
Source: RNAcentral